GAUGAACGCUGACAGAAUGCUUAACACAUGCAAGUCGAUGGGGAAGUGGUGCUUGCACCAUGGUAACCAUGGCGGACGGGUGAGUAACGCGUAAGGAACUUGCCUGCGGGACCGGGAUAACAGCAGGAAACUGCUGACAAGACCGGAUAAGGUCAUGAAGCUGCAUAGCUUAGUGAUGAAGGGAGACGCCUGCGGAGAGCCUUGCGUCCUAUUAGCUAGUUGGAGGGGUAACGGCCCACCAAGGCGAAGAUAGGUAGCCGGCCUGAGAGGGUGGACGGCCACAAGGGGACUGAGAUACGGCCCUUACUCCUACGGGAGGCAGCAGUGGGGAAUAUUGGACAAUGGGGGCAACCCUGAUCCAGCAAUUCUGUGUGCACGAAGACGGUUUUCGGAUUGUAAAGUGCUUUCAGCAGGGAAGAAGUAAGUGACGGUACCUGCAGAAGAAGCGACGGCUAAAUACGUGCCAGCAGCCGCGGUAAUACGUAUGUCGCGAGCGUUAUCCGGAAUUAUUGGGCAUAAAGGGCAUCUAGGCGGCCUUUCAAGUCAGGGGUGAAAACCUGCGGCUCAACCGCAGGCCUGCCUUUGAAACUGAUAGGCUGGAGUACCGGAGAGGUGGACGGAACUGCACGAGUAGAGGUGAAAUUCGUAGAUAUGUGCAGGAAUGCCGAUGAUGAAGAUAGUUCACUGGACGGUAACUGACGCUGAAGUGCGAAAGCCGGGGGAGCGAACAGG
This 732-nucleotide ribosomal RNA is filed under the name uncultured Leptotrichia sp. Its description in RNAcentral is "bacterial SSU rRNA". It matches the Rfam family "Bacterial small subunit ribosomal RNA", at positions 28 to 776 of the family's 1533-position model. Lineage: Bacteria; Fusobacteriati; Fusobacteriota; Fusobacteriia; Fusobacteriales; Leptotrichiaceae. The record is from RNAcentral.